UCCAGGCAACAAAGGCUUCUUGGUAGGUUCCUGCAAUUUCUGACCUUCAUUAUCAGAUUCAGACUUUGACUUGUUAUGAUUCUUUUUACUCUUUGCAAGAGAAAAACCUUCAUCCUCUAAAGCAUCAUCAAAAUCAUCAUCAUCUUCGGAAGAUGCUGGUUGAUCAUCAUCAUCACUUCCGGAAGAAUCUGAGUCAGAAUGGGCAACCUCACCAUUCUGAACAGGUACAGACAUCCUCUAAAGCAUCAUCAAAAUCAUCAUCAUCUUCGGAAGAUGCUGGUUGAUCAUCAUCAUCACUUCCGGAAGAAUCUGAGUCAGAAUGGGCAACCUCACCAUUCUGAACAGGUACAGUUUCAUCACUUUUUUUAUCAGAUACAGUUACAGGUUCAUCACUCUUUUUAUCUGAUACAGUUACAGGUUCUUUAUCAGUCUCUUCUAUAACAUCUUCAAAG
RNAcentral lists this long non-coding RNA (452 nucleotides) under Lathyrus oleraceus (garden pea). Its description in RNAcentral is "Pisum sativum (pea) long non-coding RNA (PSAT_LNC004334)". Lineage: Eukaryota; Viridiplantae; Streptophyta; Magnoliopsida; Fabales; Fabaceae. The record is from RNAcentral.